This 468-nucleotide ribosomal RNA is filed under the name uncultured bacterium. RNAcentral's name for it is "partial 16S ribosomal RNA". It matches the Rfam family "Bacterial small subunit ribosomal RNA", at positions 28 to 507 of the family's 1533-position model. The record is from RNAcentral.
GACGAACGCUGGCGGCGUGCUUAGCACAUGCAAGUCGAACGGAAAGACCCUGCUUUUGUGGGGUGCUCGAGUGGCGAACGGGUGAGUAACACGUGAGUAACCUGCCCUUGACUUUGGGAUAACUUCAGGAAACUGGGGCUAAUACCGGAUAGGAGCUCCUGCUGCAUGGUGGGGGUUGGAAAGUUUCGGCGGUUGGGGAUGGACUCGCGGCUUAUCAGCUUGUUGGUGGGGUAGUGGCUUACCAAGGCUUUGACGGGUAGCCGGCCUGAGAGGGUGACCGGCCACAUUGGGACUGAGAUACGGCCCAGACUCCUACGGGAGGCAGCAGUGGGGAAUAUUGCACAAUGGGCGGAAGCCUGAUGCAGCAACGCCGCGUGCGGGAUGACGGCCUUCGGGUUGUAAACCGCUUUCGCCUGUGACGAAGCGUGAGUGACGGUAAUGGGUAAAGAAGCACCGGCUAACUACGUG